RNAcentral lists this ribosomal RNA (438 nucleotides) under Bacillus sp. enrichment culture clone CB1-7 3.1. Its description in RNAcentral is "bacterial SSU rRNA". It matches the Rfam family "Bacterial small subunit ribosomal RNA", at positions 226 to 655 of the family's 1533-position model. Lineage: Bacteria; Bacillati; Bacillota; Bacilli; Caryophanales; Bacillaceae. The record is from RNAcentral.
UGGGCCCGCGGCGCAUUAGCUAGUUGGUGAGGUAACGGCUCACCAAGGCGACGAUGCGUAGCCGACCUGAGAGGGUGAUCGGCCACACUGGGACUGAGACACGGCCCAGACUCCUACGGGAGGCAGCAGUAGGGAAUCUUCCGCAAUGGACGAAAGUCUGACGGAGCAACGCCGCGUGAGUGAUGAAGGCUUUCGGGUCGUAAAACUCUGUUGUUAGGGAAGAACAAGUGCUAGUUGAAUAAGCUGGCACCUUGACGGUACCUAACCAGAAAGCCACGGCUAACUACGUGCCAGCAGCCGCGGUAAUACGUAGGUGGCAAGCGUUAUCCGGAAUUAUUGGGCGUAAAGCGCGCGCAGGUGGUUUCUUAAGUCUGAUGUGAAAGCCCACGGCUCAACCGUGGAGGGUCAUUGGAAACUGGGAGACUUGAGUGCAGAAGA